UCGCCGCCCUGCCCGCAGCGCCCGCGAUGAGGACCUGGGCUUGCGUUUUGCUGCUGGGCUUCGGCUACCUGUCCUGCACCUUCGGCGAGGAGGCCGAGAUCCCGCAGGAGCUCAUCGAGCGGCUGGCGCACAGCGAGAUCCACAGCAUCCGCGACCUGCAGCGCCUCCUGGAGAUUGACUCCGUAGGGUAUGAGGAUGUUUCAGAAUCAAACUUGAGGUCCUACAGUGUUCAUUCUGCUAAACAUGCGCAAGAGAAUCGUCCUGUGCCCAUUCGCAGAAAAAGAAGCAUUGAGGAAGCCAUCCCGGCUGUCUGCAAAACACGGACGGUUAUAUACGAGAUACCUCGGAGUCAGAUCGAUCCCACCUCCGCCAACUUCCUGAUAUGGCCGCCCUGUGUGGAGGUGAAACGGUGCACGGGCUGUUGCAACACCAGCAGCGUGAAAUGUCAGCCCUCGCGGAUACACCACAGAAGCGUCAAGGUGGCAAAAGUGGAAUAUGUUAGAAAAAAGCCAAAAUUAAAAGAAGUUCUGGUGAGAUUAGAAGAGCAUAUGGAAUGCACCUGUACAUCAUCAAAUACUAAUUCAGAUUAUAGAGAAGAAGAAACUGGAAGGCCUAGGGAAUCAGGUAAAAAACGGAAACGAAAAAAGUUAAAACCAACAUAAAACCUACUGGAACUAUUUGAUAUUCAGAUUAACAGGUAUUUAUUGGGAGUAGUAUGAUAGAAGCAAAGAUUUUGUAAAAUUCAACUUUAAAAGUGAGCAUGUAAACUCAAUCAAAACAGCAUUUAGAACUUCUUGUCCCAGAUGUAAGGUGAAAAUAAGCUAGAAAAAAAACUUCUCUCUGGGACAUGGAUGUACAUGGUUUGUUACAUUCCUGAACCUACUAUGUAUGGUGCUCAUUGACUGUAUAUUUUAUUUGUUCUCCUAUGUGAAAAAACUGGCUCAAAAGAACACUUAAUGAGAACAAAGAGACAAUGUACAUUUGUUUAAUGUGACAUCAAAGCAAGUAUUGUAGCACUCUGUGAAACAAUAGGAAGCUUCCCUGUCCAAAAAAAGAAAAAAAAUGAAAGAAAAAAAAAAUGAAAAGAAAAAAAAAGACAGUUGAAUGAAUGGAGGAUACCAAAAGUACUCAAAAACAUGACAAAAAUCUAAGUGAAUAGUGGAUUUCUGUCAGAGCAGUCAACGGUGCUUUACGUCAAGAAAUGUGCCUGUGUUCUUGAUGAAGAUGGAUGGACGCUGAUGGACUUCAGGCACAAAAAAAGCAGGAAUGUAUGAAAUGAUCAAAUGCCACGCAAACACUAUAGAACAAUACAUCCUUGCUUGGUGGUGUUUUAAAAGUCUAUACAAAAAAAAACCUUCUGGGGAGCCUUAAGUGGAUUUUUUUUUUUUUUUUUUUACACCAUAAAGUGAUUAUUAAGUUUUCUUUUUACUCUUUGCCUAGCUUUUUAUUAUCUCUUGGACUACAUUUGCCAAUAACACAUAUAAAAGACUGGUAUAACAAUAGCAGAACACAAAACAUUAUGGUAUUUCUCCUAGUGGGAUGCAAACUAAUGAGAUGUAUUAAAAUAAAAAUGGUAUACCUAUGCAUAAUUUUCUAGACGUUUCUUGGUUUAUGUUCCCCAACCUCCCCCGUAAUUUAAAGCAUUACAUGGAAAAGAGAGAUGUGCGUAAACAAAUCAUAGGAUAUCCAUGCAAAAGUCCUUUUUCCUUUAAGACUUAUGCCAGUUGCCUACUAGUGAUAUUGUGUUAGCAAUUGUCAUACUUAUCAGUAUACAGAUACUUUGAUUUCACAUGUUGGAGCUGUGUGAAAUGUACAAAUUCUUGUAUCUGCAUUGUACAAUGUCAUGGUGGCUUGGGAACUACCUUGCUGCAAAUAUUUGAACAAAACCUAAAAUUCUUUAUUUUUGGUAAAAUGUUAUGCUUUAUGUGUAUUCAACAGAAAUAUGUGUUUUUGUAAAGGUGAAGUUUGUAUUUUUAUCUAAAAAUUAACAGUUUUAUAUACCUGAGAAAGCCUGCUAUGUUUUCUUGAACCAAAAAAAAAAAAAAAAAAAGAAAGAAAAAAGACUAAAAAAAAAAACAUUUUGUGGUCAUAUUUUUGUAGUAGAAUAGCCCAAAUAACAUCCAAAUCUAUUUUAACUAUAGCAGGGCAGUUAAAAUACUCUGGCAUCAGCUCCUGUGUUUUCAAAGAAAACGCUCAGCUCCCCGUGGAUUGCAGUGGGAGCCACACGGCUAAAUCCUUGUCUGCUGCUUUGGAAAUUUAGGGCUGUGCCAGAUUAUGACGUGGCUACUCACUUGGCCAGAAUCACUGCCCCAGCCCAGUAGUCUGGAUUAUGUACCCUCUGUUUUAUUUGGAGUAUUGCAUUGGAUAUGUGAAAGGAACUACUGGAUUCUCCUCUUUGUAAAACAUCUACAAAGAGAUGAACGCGUUUUCUCUCCUUUGUUUGGAACGACAAAAAAACCAAGUUUGUUUUGAAGAGAGCGUUUCCACUCCAAUCAAAAAUAUCUUCAAGUGUGAAUGAACUGUAGAUCCUUAUAACAGGAAAAAAAAAAAAGAGUGAGAUUUUUAACCUUUCCAUUUCUAAAUAUAGUCCAACUGUUCCCCUCCUGUUCCUGUAGCUAUGUCCAAUUUCAACCAAACAAAGCAAUGUUAGCUAACAGGCAUUAUUGGCUUCAGAUGCUAAUGCAGAGAUAGAGUUAGUCAUCAUUCUAUUUUGUGAUCAUUUUCCCAGUGUAUUCGUUGAGCACCAAAACUGGAAAUACAUUUAACUAAGAUUGUCUGUGCUUGUUUUCCACUAAGUGUACUGUUCACAAUGUUAUGCACAUGAAUGUAUGUGUCUGCGUUUAAAAAGAAAGUGUAUAAAAUGUAAUUUAUAUAUUUAUGUUUCAGUGGGAUGCCAAUAAUGUUGCUCAGUUCUUUUUUUUUUUUUUGUCUAAAAGAUAUCUAAUGAAAAAAAAAAGUUCAUAUAUCCAUUAAAAUCAUGUAGAUAAAAAAUGUUACGUGACCCACUCGGACACUGUGCAGGUAUGAAAGGAUGUCAGAGUCACUUAAGUGGAAUAUUUGCAAAAGAAUUAUCAAGAGUCCUGUAGCUGCA
Molecule: RNA transcript, 3091 nt
Organism: Nothoprocta perdicaria
Lineage: Eukaryota; Metazoa; Chordata; Aves; Tinamiformes; Tinamidae
Gene: PDGFA
Gene name: platelet derived growth factor subunit A
Exons: 8
Source: RefSeq, a predicted model, not a curated record